Molecule: ribosomal RNA, 486 nt
Filed under: uncultured bacterium
Lineage: Bacteria
Description: partial 16S ribosomal RNA
Rfam family: Bacterial small subunit ribosomal RNA
Source: RNAcentral
AUUGAACGCUGGCGGCAUGCCUUACACAUGCAAGUCGAACGGCAGCACGGGUGCUUGCAACUGGUGGCGAGUGGCGAACGGGUGAGUAAUACAUCGGAACAUGUCCUGUAGUGGGGGAUAGCCCGGCGAAAGCCGGAUUAAUACCGCAUACGAUCUACGGUUGAAAGCGGGGGACCUUCGGGCCUCGCGCUAUGGGGUAGGCCGAUAGCUGUUUAGCUAGUUGGUGGGGUAAAGGCCUACCAAGGCGAAGCACAGUAGCUGGACUGAGAGGACGACCAGCCACACGGGGACUGAGACACGGCCCAGACUCCUACGGGAGGCAGCAGUGGGGAAUUUUGGACAAUGGGGGAAGGCCUGACCCAGCAAUGCCGCGUGGUGGAAGAAGGCCUUCGGGUUGUAAAGCAUGUUUGUCCGGAAAGAAAUCCUUGGCUCUAAUACAGUCGGGGGAUGACGGUACCGGAAGAAUAAGCACCGGCUAACUACGUG